RNAcentral lists this ribosomal RNA (512 nucleotides) under uncultured bacterium. RNAcentral describes it as "bacterial SSU rRNA". It matches the Rfam family "Bacterial small subunit ribosomal RNA", at positions 8 to 518 of the family's 1533-position model. The record is from RNAcentral.
AGAGUUUGAUUCUGGCUCAGGAUGUAACGCUGGCGGCGUGCUUAACACAUGCAAGUCGAACGAGUUUUUAACGGAAGUUUCGGAUGGAAGUUUAGAAACUUAGUGGCGGACGGGUGAGUAACGCGUGGGUAACCUGCCCCAUACAGGGGGAUAACAGUUAGAAAUGACUGCUAACACCGCAUAAUAUAGCGAAACCGCAUGAUUUUUGCUAUCAAAUAUUUAUAGGUAUGAGGAUGGGCCCGCGUCUGAUUAGCUAGUUGGUGGGGUAAAAGCCUACCAAGGCGACGAUCAGUAGCCGGCUUGAGAGAGUGACCGGCCACAUUGGGACUGAGACACGGCCCAAACUCCUACGGGAGGCAAGCAGUGGGGAAUAUUGGACAAUGGGGGAAACCCUGAUCCAGCGAACCGCCGCGUGAGUGAAGAAGUAUUUCGGUAUGUAAAGCUCUAUCAGCAGGGAAGAUAAUGACAGUACCUGACUAAGAAGCCCCGGCUAACUACGUGCCAGCCGCAGC